RNAcentral lists this ribosomal RNA (497 nucleotides) under uncultured bacterium. RNAcentral describes it as "partial 16S ribosomal RNA". It matches the Rfam family "Bacterial small subunit ribosomal RNA", at positions 28 to 507 of the family's 1533-position model. The record is from RNAcentral.
GAUGAACGCUGGCGGCGUGCCUAAUACAUGCAAGUCGAGCGAACGGACGAGAAGCUUGCUUUUCUGAUGUUAGCGGCGGACGGGUGAGUAACACGUGGAUAACCUACCUAUAAGACUGGGAUAACUUCGGGAAACCGGAGCUAAUACCGGAUAAUAUUUUGAACCGCAUGGUUCAAAAGUGAAAGACGGUCUUGCUGUCACUUAUAGAUGGAUCCGCGCUGCAUUAGCUAGUUGGUAAGGUAACGGCUUACCAAGGCAACGAUGCAUAGCCGACCUGAGAGGGUGAUCGGCCACACUGGAACUGAGACACGGUCCAGACUCCUAUGGGAGGCAGCAGUAGGGAAUCUUCCGCAAUGGGCGAAAGCCUGACGGAGCAACGCCGCGUGAGUGAUGAAGGUCUUCGGAUCGUAAAACUCUGUUAUUAGGGAAGAACAUAUGUGUAAGUAACUGUGCACAUCUUGACGGUACCUAAUCAGAAAGCCACGGCUAACUACGUG